CGUGGGACACCCUGCAUUAAAAAGAAUAUUAUUAUUAGAAUCUGGAAUACAGUAACAUCUCUCAUUUUCUCCAUUAAGGAAUACAUAGACGCAGCGCUGCGGACUGAACAAGCUAGAAUAUUAAAAACUGAAAUAAAAAU
Molecule: long non-coding RNA, 140 nt
Organism: Eurytemora carolleeae
Lineage: Eukaryota; Metazoa; Arthropoda; Copepoda; Calanoida; Temoridae
Exons: 2
Source: RefSeq, a predicted model, not a curated record